This 577-nucleotide ribosomal RNA is filed under the name uncultured fungus. Its description in RNAcentral is "eukaryotic LSU rRNA". The stretch from base 1 to 111 matches the Rfam family "5.8S ribosomal RNA", at positions 45 to 154 of the family's 154-position model. Lineage: Eukaryota; Fungi. The record is from RNAcentral.
GCAGCGAAUUGCGAUAAGUAAUGUGAAUUGCAGAUUUCCAGUGAAUCAUCGAAUCUUUGAACGCACCUUGCGCUCCUUGGUAUUCCGAGGAGCAUGCCUGUUUGAGUGUCAUUUUGAAUUCUCAACCAUCUCUUGAUUCAUUUCAAGAUCGUUGGCUUGGAAAUGGGGGCUGCUGGUCAUGGUCUUUGACUUGGAUCAGCUCUCCUAAAAUGAAUUAGCGAUUGGGUAGCCAAGUCUUUCGACGUGCACGGCCUUUCGACGUGAUAAUGAUCGUCGUGGCUGGAGCGUCUUUGAGUUGAAUUCAAUGCCUAUUGCUUAUAACAAUAAUAUAUAUAAUGAGAAUGUAAUGAGGGAAAGGAAUAUGUCCCCCGAGCUUUCAAGCCUUUUCUAGUUACUAGUUGGUCAACGGACCGGCGAACACAGAAAAGUACAAGGCCUGGCCACGUAUCUUCCUUCCUCUUCAUUAUUCAAGACUAGUGUCUCUGACCGUCUUAUUCUCAUAUAUUUAUAUUUUCGAAACUUGACCUCAAAUCAGGUAGGACUACCCGCUGAACUUAAGCAUAUCAAUAAGCGGAGG